AAAGAGAUUAAUUUGUUUGGCGUUACAGUAUGGAAGGAAGUAGAGAAGUGGUUCUGCAAUUAAAAGCGUGGAAGUCUUUAGUCUUUGCUUGGGCUGCCCAACGACGCAUAUUUUCACUAACUCUAAUUAUUAUGUGCAGCGUCCUUUUGUUACCUUUUGUGACAGCAGCAGCGAUACUGCCUGUAGUGGUUAUAUUAAAUGUCCUGGAUUAUUUAAAAGCAAAAGGACUUCUUUCAAUAAUCUACAUCAUUUUUGGGCACGGAGUUGUGUUGGGAUCCCUUACCCUCGUGUUAUUUUGUAUAUCCUUUACCUUAGCAGUUUGCUGUGGAUUAAUUCAGUCUUAUUACGUGUAAUGUAGGAUUU
Cylas formicarius (sweet potato weevil) is the source of this 363-nucleotide long non-coding RNA. RefSeq lists it as uncharacterized. The record is from RefSeq and is a predicted model, not a curated record. Lineage: Eukaryota; Metazoa; Arthropoda; Insecta; Coleoptera; Brentidae. The transcript has 3 exons.